Molecule: ribosomal RNA, 483 nt
Filed under: uncultured bacterium
Lineage: Bacteria
Description: partial 16S ribosomal RNA
Rfam family: Bacterial small subunit ribosomal RNA
Source: RNAcentral
GACGAACGCUGGCGGCGUGCUUAACACAUGCAAGUCGAACGCUGAAGCUCAGCUUUUGUUGGGUGGAUGAGUGGCGAACGGGUGAGUAACACGUGAGUAACCUGCCCCCUUCUUUGGGAUAACGCCCGGAAACGGGUGCUAAUACUGGAUAUUCACUGGUCUUCGCAUGGGGGUUGGUGGAAAGGGUUUUUCUGGUGGGGGAUGGGCUCGCGGCCUAUCAGCUUGUUGGUGGGGUGAUGGCCUACCAAGGCUUUGACGGGUAGCCGGCCUGAGAGGGUGACCGGUCACAUUGGGACUGAGAUAGGGCCCAGACUCCUACGGGAGGCAGCAGUGGGGAAGAUUGCACAAUGGGCGCAAGCCUGAUGCAGCGACGCCGCGUGAGGGAUGGAGGCCUUCGGGUUGUGAACCUCUUUCGCUCAUGGUCAAGCCGCAACAAUGGUUGUGGUGAGGGUAGUGGGUAAAGAAGCGCCGGCUAACUACGUG